UCUUCAUUUUUCAGUAUAAACUGACAGACAAAGAAGCACCCGUGAGUCAGUGGCCCUCUAAUGCAGCCAAUUCUCAUUCACGGGCACCAAACAUGUGGUUCAUAAUCAUACACUCCAUUCUCUAUAUAAGAUCAUUUGUAUCACCAUGAAUAUUGUGAGUACGUAGUGAAGUGACUAAUUAAGUUUGUUGUAGCUAGGAAUAUAAUAGUAAGCAUGGAGAUGGGAAAGAAGUUAGUGAUGUUAAUAUUGGUGGUUUUGUUGGUUGAAAGGUCGAGUGCAGUGACCUUGUGUAAGAUGGAUGAUAAUGGAUUUGCAGCCUGCAAGCCAGCAGUGACUCAGCCCAACCCAGUUGAUCCAACACCUGAGUGUUGCAAGGCUAUCUCUGGGGCUGACUUGCCAUGCCUUUGUUCAUAUAAGAACUCAAUGGUUUUGCCUGCUCUUGGGAUUGAUCCUAAUCUUGCCAUGGGACUUCCUGCCAAGUGCAAUAUCACCCCUCCUGCCAAUUGCUAAGGUAUUUUGAAGGAAUCUACUACACAUUCAUGUUGUCAGAGUCACAAUUGCAAUUCUAGGGUUGCGAAUGAUCCAAAUUAUCUGUUGUCUUUACUAGCUUGUUUUACUCUUUAUUUCCCCCAAAACAUUGUCGUGUUGAAUGUUCUCUGAGCAAGUUAUUUGGAUUAUGUCAUUUACUCUUUUGAAUUGUGUUGUAAAAUAUUUGAAUUUUAUGAAACAACUUUAUCAGAAAA
Molecule: long non-coding RNA, 743 nt
Organism: Quercus lobata
Lineage: Eukaryota; Viridiplantae; Streptophyta; Magnoliopsida; Fagales; Fagaceae
Exons: 2
Source: RefSeq, a predicted model, not a curated record